UACGUAGGGGGCAAGCGUUGUCCGGAUUUAUUGGGCGUAAAGAGCGUGUAGGCGGCCAGUUAGGUCCGUUGUGAAAACUCGAGGCUCAACCUCGAGACGCCGAUGGAAACCAACUGGCUAGAGUCCGGAAGAGGAGAGUGGAAUUCCCGGUGUAGCGGUGAAAUGCGCAGAUAUCGGGAAGAACACCCGUGGCGAAGGCGGCUCUCUAGUACGGUACUGACGCUGAGACGCGAAAGCGUGGGGAGCGAACAGG
Molecule: ribosomal RNA, 253 nt
Filed under: uncultured bacterium
Lineage: Bacteria
Description: partial 16S ribosomal RNA
Rfam family: Bacterial small subunit ribosomal RNA
Source: RNAcentral